GACGAACGCUGGCGGCGUGCUUAACACAUGCAAGUCGAACGGAAAGGCCCUGCUUUUGUGGGGUGCUCGAGUGGCGAACGGGUGAGUAACACGUGAGUAACCUGCCCUUGACUUUGGGAUAACUUCAGGAAACUGGGGCUAAUACCGGAUAGGAGCUCCUGCUGCAUGGUGGGGGUUGGAAAGUUUCGGCGGUUGGGGAUGGACUCGCGGCUUAUCAGCUUGUUGGUGGGGUAGUGGCUUACCAAGGCUUUGACGGGUAGCCGGCCUGUGAGGGUGACCGGCCACAUUGGGACUGAGAUACGGCACAGACUCCUACGGGAGGCAGCAGUGGGGAAUAUUGCACAAUGGGCGGAAGCCUGAUGCAGCAACGCCGCGUGCGGGAUGACGGCCUUCGGGUUGUAAACCGCUUUCGCCUGUGACGAAGCGUGAGUGACGGUAAUGGGUAAAGAAGCACCGGCUAACUACGUG
This 468-nucleotide ribosomal RNA is filed under the name uncultured bacterium. RNAcentral describes it as "partial 16S ribosomal RNA". It matches the Rfam family "Bacterial small subunit ribosomal RNA", at positions 28 to 507 of the family's 1533-position model. The record is from RNAcentral.